UACGUAGGGUGCGAGCGUUGUCCGGAAUCACUGGGCGUAAAGGGCGCGUAGGCGGACUUUUUAAGUCAGGGGGUGAAAUCCUGAGGCUCAACCUCAGAACUGCCUUUGAUACUGAGGGUCUCGAGACCGGUAGAGGUAAGUGGAACUGCGAGUGUAGAGGUGAAAUUCGUAGAUAUUCGCAAGAACACCAGUGGCGAAGGCGGCUUACUGGACCGGUUCUGACGCUGAGGCGCGAAAGCGUGGGGGAGCAAACAGG
This 256-nucleotide ribosomal RNA is filed under the name uncultured bacterium. RNAcentral describes it as "partial 16S ribosomal RNA". It matches the Rfam family "Bacterial small subunit ribosomal RNA", at positions 524 to 776 of the family's 1533-position model. The record is from RNAcentral.